CACUCUGACCAGCCAUGCCGCGUGCAGGAUGACGGCCCUACGGGUUGUAAACUGCUUUUAUAUGGGAAGAAACCUUUCCACGUGUGGAAAGCUGACGGUACCAUGUGAAUAAGGGUCGGCUAACUCCGUGCCAGCAGCCGCGGUAAUAAUUAA
This 153-nucleotide ribosomal RNA is filed under the name uncultured bacterium. RNAcentral describes it as "partial 16S ribosomal RNA". It matches the Rfam family "Bacterial small subunit ribosomal RNA", at positions 379 to 529 of the family's 1533-position model. The record is from RNAcentral.